This 346-nucleotide ribosomal RNA is filed under the name uncultured bacterium. Its description in RNAcentral is "bacterial SSU rRNA". It matches the Rfam family "Bacterial small subunit ribosomal RNA", at positions 558 to 902 of the family's 1533-position model. The record is from RNAcentral.
GCGUAAAGAGCUCGUAGGCGGCUUGUUGCGUCCGCUGUGAAAUCCCGGGGCUCAACCCCGGGCGUGCAGUGGAUACGGGCAGGCUGGAGGCAGGCAGGGGAGAACGGAAUUCCCGGUGUAGCGGUGAAAUGCGCAGAUAUCGGGAGGAACACCGGUGGCGAAGGCGGUUCUCUGGGCCUGUCCUGACGCUGAGGAGCGAAAGCGUGGGGAGCGAACAGGAUUAGAUACCCUGGUAGUCCACGCCGUAAACGUUGGGCGCUAGGUGUGGGUCCCUUCCACGGGGCCUGUGCCGCAGCUAACGCAUUAAGCGCCCCGCCUGGGGAGUACGGCCGCAAGGCUAAAACUC